GCCUGGCUGGCUCAGUCGGUGGAGCAUGUGACUCCUGAUCUCAGGGUCAUGAGUUUGAGCCCCAUGUUGGGUA
This 73-nucleotide transfer RNA is filed under the name Felis catus (domestic cat). It matches the Rfam family "tRNA". From Rfam's summary of the family: Transfer RNA (tRNA) molecules are approximately 80 nucleotides in length. Their secondary structure includes four short double-helical elements and three loops (D, anti-codon, and T loops). RNAcentral also lists the same sequence under 2 other names. The record is from Rfam by way of RNAcentral. Lineage: Eukaryota; Metazoa; Chordata; Mammalia; Carnivora; Felidae.